Molecule: RNA transcript, 2211 nt
Organism: Cydia fagiglandana
Lineage: Eukaryota; Metazoa; Arthropoda; Insecta; Lepidoptera; Tortricidae
Exons: 1
Source: RefSeq, a predicted model, not a curated record
AUGUCCAGUUCAUUAAAGUUAUCAAUACUCGCUGGAGUUAAUUUAACUUUAAACGGUACUGUAAGUAACUUUCGUUGUCAGAGAUAAUUAUCAAUGCAAUGGUUUUAAUAUUUUCAGUCAUUUAUUCAAAGGCUUGCUUGAGCAUUUAGCAAAAGCAUUUUGUGACAUUUACUCGUUCCAUGUGCAUCAGCAUGCUAAAAAUAGUAUUUUUAUUCAGUAUCGGCGUUAAUGCUAAACUUAACCCCCACGGUCCUACUGUGGUUAGUGACUUCUCCGGUUGUGUUAGUGAAAUAAUUGAUGGAAAUUUUGCGAAAUCUGGACAUCUCUAUUUCGUGGACACUUUUAACGUCAGCACACCAGUAGCUGGAAUAAGACAUGCUAUCAUUAAAUCUGUGCAUGCAAAAUUAAAAUACUCUGUAAAAAUAGCUACACCUACGAAGAAAGAUAAAGGGAUAUGCUUUAACAAUGACAAUACAGCCAUAGAAAUGAGUGUUGGGUCGCACAUGGAUCAUUUUGAAGCUACACCUCUAGCUCAUUACUUCAUUUUAAUCAUAGAAGACUACAAGGAAUUCAGUUAUAUCGCAAGUAGACUUAUUCGAUCUAGGAGUUGGAAUCCGAGUGCCUUGUUCAUUUUGGUAUAUUUCUCAAUAACCGGUUCUGACGAUAAAAACAUCAGACAUGCCGAAGAUAUGCUAUUUUGCCUUUUUAAAAUUAAUGUGAUCAAUGCCGUUGUGAUUAUACCAGAAGUUAAUAAUGUCCGGAAGGCAAAUAUCUAUAGUUGGCGGCCUUAUGAACCUCCAAAAUAUUGUGGAUACUACAAUGAAUCGAUAAGAAAUAGACUGAUAGUGGAAAACGUCUGUGAACGUGGCAAAAUAAAAUACGCAAAAAAGAUUUUUGAAUCAAAAAUUCCUAGUGACAUGAUGGGAUGUAGUUUGAAAGUGCUUGCUCUAGAACGACAGCCCUUUAUAAGUCAUAAUCCGUUGGAUCCUAAUAUGGAAAGUCUAUUGAUUGAUCAGUUAGCAAAACGUUAUAACCUUUCCCUACGUUACGAAAUCCUGAAUUCAUAUCGCGGAGAGAAGUCAUUUCAUGGUGACUGGAGCGGAGCACUGAGAGACCUAGCUGACAAAAAAGGCCACCUACUUUUAGGAGGCAUUUUUCCCGACGACGAAGUUCAUCAAGAUUUUGAGUGCAGUACAACUUACUUAGCCGAUUCCUACACCUGGGUCGUUCCACGAGCGUUACCAAAACCGGCAUGGCUAGCUCUUUUUGUGAUAUUUCAAAAAACCGUAUGGUUGACAGUUAUAACUUGUUUUGUCUUUAUUGCUUUAAGUUGGAUGGUGUUAGCUAAGCUGAGCAGGGAUCCAACUUAUAGAACAAAUCUGGAUCAUUAUUUUAUCAACACUUGGCUCAGUAAUUUGGGUUUUUGUGCAUUUUCACGACCAAUAACGCAUAGUUUGCGUUUAUUUUUUGUAUUUAUAAACCUUUAUUGCAUUUUAUUAAUAACUGCUUAUCAAACAAAAUUGAUUGAUGUCUUGACAAACCCAAGUUUUGAAUAUCAGAUAUCGACCGUCGAGGAAUUGGUUGAGAGUGGCUUAAAAUGUGGCGGUUCUGAAGAAUUACAUGAUAUUUUUGAAAAUUCUACUGAUCCUAUUGAUAACUAUUUCUUGGGCGAGUGGAUUGAUAUUGCCGAUAUAAAGGAUGCUUUGAGAGACGUGGCGAUCCACCGGAACUUCUCUCUCUUGUGCAGUCGCUUGGAACUGGCGUAUGUAUCAGCCAUAAUACCGGAGUUGAGUGAUCAAUUUGGAAACUAUAUGUAUUAUGCUUUCCCAACGAACGUCUUUACUGUCCCUUUGGAGACUGUGUCUACGAAAGGGUUUCCGUUUAUGAAAGGGUUUUCUAGAAUUUUGACAUAUUUUAGACAGCAUGGCAUCAAUAACGGAGUGAUAGUAUAUUUUGGUGGUUAUUUGUUAAGACAGCGAGCUCUACUCUUGAAGGAAUUGAAACAUGAAUACAAUAAGAGACCCGCCCUAUCCAUUCAAACUCUACAAAGUGGAUAUUUAGCCCUUAUAUUUGGCUACUUGUGUGGCACAAUUGUGUUCAUAGUGGAAAUUAUACUUAAUACAAAAUUUGUAAAAAAUAUUAAAUUUUAUAAGAAAUAUGUUUAUGGUGAUUGGUUUUUAUUUACCAAAAUCAAACUUCAUAUAUUUUUAA